Molecule: ribosomal RNA, 273 nt
Filed under: uncultured bacterium
Lineage: Bacteria
Description: partial 16S ribosomal RNA
Rfam family: Bacterial small subunit ribosomal RNA
Source: RNAcentral
GCGGUGUGAGAUGGACCUGCGUCUGAUUAGCCAGUUGGCGGGGUAACGGCCCACCAAAGCGACGAUCAGUAGCCGACCUGAGAGGGUGACCGGCCACAUUGGGACUGAGACACGGCCCAAACUCCUACGGGAGGCAGCAGUGGGGAAUAUUGCACAAUGGGGGAAACCCUGAUGCAGCGACGCCGCGUGACUGAAGAAGUAUUUCGGUAUGUAAAGGUCUAUCAGCAAGGAAGAAGAGAGACGGUACUUGACUAAGAAGCACCGGCUAAAUAC